CAGCAGCCACGGUAAUACGUAGGUGGCGAGCGUUGUCCGGAAUUAUUGGGCGUAAAGGGAGCGCAGGCGGACAUAUAAGUCCAUCUUAAAAGUGCGGGGCUCAACUCCGUGAGGGGAUGGAAACUGUAUGCCUUGAGUGCAGGAGAGGAAAGCGGAAUUCCCAGUGUAGCGGUGAAAUGCGUAGAUAUUGGGAGGAACACCAGUGGCGAAGGCGGCUUUCUGGACUGUAACUGACGCUGAGGCUCGGAAGCCAGGGGAGCGAACGGGAUUAGAGACCCCUGUAGUCCCUGUCUCUUAUACA
RNAcentral lists this ribosomal RNA (301 nucleotides) under uncultured bacterium. Its description in RNAcentral is "partial 16S ribosomal RNA". It matches the Rfam family "Bacterial small subunit ribosomal RNA", at positions 509 to 809 of the family's 1533-position model. The record is from RNAcentral.